This 270-nucleotide ribosomal RNA is filed under the name uncultured prokaryote. RNAcentral describes it as "partial 16S ribosomal RNA". It matches the Rfam family "Bacterial small subunit ribosomal RNA", at positions 506 to 776 of the family's 1533-position model. The record is from RNAcentral.
UGCCAGCAGCGCGGUAAUACGUAGGGACCAAGCGUUGUUCGGAUUUACUGGGCGUAAAGGGCGCGUAGGCGGCAAUUCAAGUCAUCUGUGAAAUCUCCGGGCUUAACUCGGAACGGUCAGAUGAUACUGCUUUGCUAGAGUGCAGAAGGGGCAAUCGGAAUUCUUGGUGUAGCGGUGAAAUGCGUAGAUAUCAAGAGGAACACCUGAGGUGAAGACGGGUUGCUGGGCUGACACUGACGCUGAGGCGCGAAAGCCAGGGGAGCAAACGGG